This 600-nucleotide ribosomal RNA is filed under the name uncultured bacterium. RNAcentral's name for it is "partial 16S ribosomal RNA". The record is from RNAcentral.
UUGAUGUGCGACCGGCAAAUCGGGUGCGGAACACGUACAGAACCUUCCUUCGAGCGGGGAAUAGCCCACGACGAAAUUUGGAUUAAUACCCCAUAGUACAUUAGACGUGGCAUCACUUUGACUGUUAAACGACUUUAUCACUUUGAACGACUGGCUGUGCGGCUGAUUAGGUAGUUGGCGGGGUAACUGUGGCCAACCAAUGGCCCUGCGAUCCAGUAACUUGGGUGUUGAGAGCACGGANCAAGGUCAACCACGGGGCACUUGAAGAACCACGGGGGCCCGGACUCCUUAACGGGGAAGGGCAGCCACGUAAACGUGGACACUUCAUUUGGGGUCCCCACAUUGGGGGAACCGGAACCAGGUUCCUUGGAAAACCCCAAGCCCAAUGGGUUCGCGCGGUUGGGGCACGGGGAUUGGANACGGGCCCCUUCUUGGGGACUUUUUGGUUACAAACUUUUACCUUUUUCAUUAAUUGGGGGGCACCGCACAACAACACACCACGGGGGUUUUUCUUAAACCUUCCGGGUCCUUUGGACCCGGGUUAACCCCAUUACAUUUGGGAAACUUAACACGCCAACCCUGGGGGCUUAAAAACUUCCC